RNAcentral lists this ribosomal RNA (460 nucleotides) under uncultured bacterium. RNAcentral's name for it is "bacterial SSU rRNA". It matches the Rfam family "Bacterial small subunit ribosomal RNA", at positions 29 to 507 of the family's 1533-position model. The record is from RNAcentral.
AUUGAACGCUGGCGGCAUGCCUUACACAUGCAAGUCGAACGGCAGCACGGGAGCAAUCCUGGUGGCGAGUGGCGAACGGGUGAGUAAAGCAUCGGAACGUGCCCUGGAAUGGGGGAUAACGUAGCGAAAGUUACGCUAAUACCGCAUAUUCUGUGAGCAGGAAAGCAGGGGAUCUUCGGACCUUGCGUUUCAGGAGCGGCCGAUGUCGGAUUAGCUAGUUGGUGGGGUAAAGGCCUACCAAGGCGACGAUCCGUAGCGGGUCUGAGAGGAUGAUCCGCCACACUGGAACUGAGACACGGUCCAGACUCCUACGGGAGGCAGCAGUGGGGAAUAUUGGGCAAUGGGCGCAAGCCUGACCCAGCAACGCCGCGUGAGGGAAGAAGGCUUCGGGUUGUAAACCUCUGUCCUUGGUGACGAAAAAAUGACGGUAGCCAAGGAGGAAGCCCCGGCUAACUACGUG